UGAUAGUCACAAGUCUGAGUGUAUUGAGAAAGUUUAAACUAAUACCAAUGACUCGAACAUUCAUACAGUCCAACCACUAGUUCAUCUAUAAUUAACAGAACAUUUAUACAAUCCAACUAGGCAUAAGGAACACACCUAAAGCAAAAUCAAAUGAUAUUAAACAAUUAUUGACUACUUUUGCUAAAAUAAUCGAACAUAUAAACUUCUGAUGGCAAAUGGAAGGCCAAUUCUAUUUCAAUAUCCCAAUUUCCAAGCUGGGCCAAUACAAUGAUCGAGUGUGUGCCUGAGAAUGGAGUUUCAACAGAGGAAAUGAAGGUCAGCAGCGGCAGUGACAAUACCAAACCAACAAAUAUGCAAUGCACAACCCCAGAGAUGUAAGUUUCAACCCAGAGUAGUUUGAAAUCAAACAAAAAGGAAAGAGCAAUACUCAAAUCAAUCUCAAAACCAGACCAAAAUCUCUAACAAUUAACCAGCAGAUGUCUACCAAUUUUCAGUCAACAUUCGAAAUCCAAUCCAACUGGAUAAAACCAUUCAAAUCAGUAGUGGUAGCUAACAGACUUGGAACUUAAGAAUUACUGGAAAUAGGCUAGUGGCAGGGAACUGUUUUUGAGUCCAAAAAUGGCUGAUAAAAGAAGACCCUUCCUCAAGGCACUUGAUGCCCUUUUUAUAGGUGACACAAGAAGGUGAAUCAGAUUUUAGGUUUCUCUUUUAGCCCCUCCCUUAUUACAGUUUGGUCCCUUUAUUUUGACUUGCUCAACAAGUAAAUACCUCUAUUAUGCUAAUAUCUACACUAAAGUACCCUUCUAGAAGGCCCUAGGAUGCUCUUCUACCCACCAAAAUACCUAUACUACCCUUACCCCUACUUUGAAAUUACUAUUCCUAAAGAAACUGCCCCUUUCUAUGCCUAAAAUGCCCUUCCAAUAGUCUGAAAACUACAGACUAAGGAACUGAUCCCAAUCCCCUCACCCUAGCUAAACUUAACUAAAGUUAAUUAACAAAUGACUUACUCAGCUAUAUCCAAUACACAUAUUUUAAACACUACACCAAUUAACACUAAAAUUGAAUGAUCAACUAAUACUAACUGAAAUCAAUCCCGAUCAAAACCCGCUUAACCAAUGACCAAGUUUCAACAAAACACAUUAACACUGACUUACCAUUAGCAAACUAAAGUGAAGAAAAUUAUUCUGAUUAUACUUAAACUAAUCAAAACCUAAACUAACUUCUUGAAUCGAAACAGAGUAAACUAAUAUGCCAAGAACAAAAUAAACUAGACUCAAGCCAUAAAUCAAAACAUGGAAUCCAGAUGGAGUUGACAAAAACUUUGGACACUAGCCAGUAUUAGAAUAGAAGCAAACAGAAGAGAGGAAAACGAGAGCUCACUGAUGCCAAGAGAAACGCUGGCCAGCCAUCGACGUCCGAAUCUUUUAGGAUUUUUGACACGUAACAUCCCUAACCAUGUGUUUUUCUACAAGAGAACGCAUGGUUAACGAUAUUAC
This 1496-nucleotide long non-coding RNA is filed under the name Nicotiana tabacum (common tobacco). RNAcentral's name for it is "long non-coding RNA (NTAB_LNC003318)". Lineage: Eukaryota; Viridiplantae; Streptophyta; Magnoliopsida; Solanales; Solanaceae. The record is from RNAcentral.